This is a non-coding RNA of Acanthosepion pharaonis, 113 nucleotides long. The record is from the annotation of a GenBank genome assembly. NCBI's taxonomy places the organism in Eukaryota, Metazoa, Mollusca, Cephalopoda, Sepiida, Sepiidae.
UUACGGCCACAUCAUGUCGAAACAACGGUUCCCGUACGAUCACUCAAGUUAAGCAACGUCGAGACUGGUCAGUACUUAGAUGUGUGAUCGCUUGGGAAUAUCAAUUGCUGUUA